AUCUAAAUAGCUUAUAUUAUUUAAAGUUUAAUAUUGAAGAUAUUAAGAAAAUUAUUAAUUUUUAGAUA
RNAcentral lists this transfer RNA (68 nucleotides) under Polyrhachis dives. RNAcentral's name for it is "tRNA-Phe". Lineage: Eukaryota; Metazoa; Arthropoda; Insecta; Hymenoptera; Formicidae. The record is from RNAcentral.